Molecule: long non-coding RNA, 7797 nt
Organism: Hemicordylus capensis (graceful crag lizard)
Lineage: Eukaryota; Metazoa; Chordata; Lepidosauria; Squamata; Cordylidae
Exons: 6
Source: RefSeq, a predicted model, not a curated record
ACCCGAGGAGACCCCCAUGUGGCUGGAAAGGGUCAGAAGUAGGGGUACGCCCUCACCCCGGAAGUUUGGCACCCACCCUACCACGCCUACCCCAGAAUAUGUCCAGACAUAUCCCGAAGGUGGGCAUGUAACCCCUCUACAAACAUGCCUAGCCACCCUGGACCAAUAGGAACAGGUUUCAGGCUCCGGAAAGGCCCGAGUGCACAGGUGUGAUAAUGGUCGGGUGGCCAUUUUGUGUAAAUUUAUUGGGUGAAAUGGGCCAGAGGAGACCCCACGUGGCUGGAAAGGGUCAGAAGUGGGGGUACGCCCUCACCCCAGAAGUUUGGCACCCACCCUACCACGCCUACCCCAGAAUAUGUCCAGACAUGUCCCGAAGGUGGGCAUGUGACCCCUCUACGAACACACCUAGCCACCCUGGACCAAUAGGAACAGUUUUCAGGCUCUGGAAAGACCCGAGUGUGCAGGUGUGAUAAUGGUCGUUCGGCCAUUUUGUGUAACUUUAUUGGGUGAAACAGGGUCUAGUGAGCCCUCUAUGAACACACCUGGCCAUCCUGAUUCUGUAGGAAUAGUCCGUUUCUCUCUGAGCCACGUUGAUUUCUUUGGAGACCCACUGUUUGAGCGAUCAUAGGUUACCCAGAGAGAUCCUUGGAGGAUAUUGUACAAGAAACAAUUGUAAACUCUAGCCCGAGAAAGCCGUAUAUUAGUACAAGUUCUGAUGAUGAGAAACUCCCGCCAGCCAAGCAUCCUGAAGAAGAAGACCAAGAACUUUAUGAAAUCUGGCAGGGAAUCUUGGAGGCUGCAGCGGUAGCAUCUUUUGGAGACCAGGUAAAUAAACACUGUUGGUGUUACAGGCUUGGGAGUAUGAGAGAGUUCCCCAGGGCUGCAACUUAAAAACUGUGUUCUUUUAUGUUUCCCAGGAGGGUGAGGACUGAUGCCUUGACAAACAGCCUCUAGCAAUGUGGAACUAUACAGAGCCCAGGAACAUGUAUAUCAGGAAUCCUCCUGCAGUGAGAACGCGUCAACCCAGCCAUGUUACUAUGCAGAAUUUCCUAGGACUACAAGUGAAUGAUUCAGAUUACAUACCAGCAAGAAAAAGGUGGUCUGCUAUGAAAGGACUUGUCAGAGUGGGGGUAUAUGGAAUUUUAAAAUACUGUCUGAAGAAUUACAUGCAUGAUUCAUGCUACGGGUGUAUGGCUCAAGCAGGGGGGCAAAACUCACAUGAAUGUGUUAAUUGGACUGAAAGAAAUAUUUCCAGAUUUAUUAGAAUAUUGUCUUCAAGGAUGUGUGUGAAAGAAGUGCUCCACAUAAUUAUUAUAAUUCGUUACAGCUUGAAAAUGUUAAUGCUGACUACAGUGAUACCGUGAAUCAGACUCUAAACCUCAUCAGCAGGGUUAAGGGUUCUGAUGACCCGCAGGUUGUGUUAGAAGCUAUCCCACAACAGAAGGACUCCAGAAUGCUCUCUUUUGUGAACUGUGUCCUCGAAAAAAGAGAGUACAGACACUUUCUUGUUCCAGAGGUAUCUGUAUAAAUUCCCUCGCAAAAGUCUAAAUGUACUAUUGUAUACGGUUGCCCUCUGGUGGUAUGUGUUUUAGUUUUUGUUAAUACAUUCUUCAUAGAAUCUCGAUGCUAAAGAAUUGCAAAUUCUGACUACUUUUGUUUGUCUAUUAAAAUGCUAUUUUAUUAUGUAUCAUUUCAUAAAUAAAAAUGGCCCUGACUCUAAACAAAUGACUGAUUUAUUUUUGCUGGGGAUACCCUAUUACAGACAUACUUUACAAGGGAGUAGGACCUGCCCUGUGGGUGCUGUGGUAGGGUGGGGUCCGACAAGAGGAGGUCGAUGAGUUCAUCAGACAAUGUCCCUCUAGCUGUGGGGAGAUAAUCCCAUCAGCUAGCAUGAAUCUUUACUACUCCCCUAAUCAGCAUGCAUGAGGACAACCAAUCAGAAAGGCCUUGCAAGAUCAUGUGGGCACAGAACUCACAUGGAUAAAACUAGUGUGAAGCAGGAAGUCUCCCUCUUUCACCCUGAAAAACUCCAACAAGCAGGAGCCUGCCGAGAAAGAAGACUAAGGUAUGACUAGCCCCCAUUUUAUAGCUUGUUUUUUCUGCACCAUGCAGUCGGGCCUGCUUUUGAAUCUGUUUGUAUCUUUAGCAAUUUCUUAUUUUAUCUCUGGAGAGCAUGUUGUAGGGACAUGAUUGCUUUUGAAUCUUAUCCACAGAGUCUUUUUUUAAAAAAAAAUGAAAACCCUGACAUUUUUUUAUUUUUAAAUUUUUAUUCUUAAAGCACAUAUUUACACAGGCAGUAUUAUAUAUAGCAUUUUUAAUGUACGCCUCAAGAUCUGUAGAAAUCUAGUAUUCCUAGGGCAGUUUCUGUUCUCUGCAAAAAAGCUCUCCUGCAACAAAUAAAUAAACAGGGUCAUGCAUGCACAACUCACAAUCCUGUAAAUGGUUUAAAUUAAAUAAACUCACCCAGCACACAUGUUCAAGCCAGCCACUCCUCACAAUGUAAUCUGUAAUAAAAAGGGCCAUCCUGUCCAUGAUUUGCUGGCUCACCGCAGGACAUAGACAUUUUGUAAGACUUUUUGUAAGCAAACCGCCGAACAGAAAAAUGGUUAAAAAUCUACCCUUAUUGAUUUUUCCAUCUGCAAAUUCUGCAGUCAUCAUGGAUGUGAAAUAGUUCUCAAUAUCUAGCAAGCUGUUAGGGUGUAGAGAGUCCAUAUGGGGGCUUAGUUCGGCCUCCAUUUUAAGUAGCAAGGGGCCUAUCCCCUUCGGUUCUGGUUUUCCACAGGCCUGUCGAAUACAGUCCAUAGCCAGAGCAUAAACAUGCUGGUAUGCCAUUUGGUGACCGUUUAGGUUCUGGUUGGGGAGGAUAUGUCUGAGCAUGUCCCUGACCGGAUAUUUUUGUAUAUAUUCAACAGCACUCACCAAAAACAAAGAAAGAAAAAAUACCACCAAAGAGGAUGAACAUUAGGGAUGAUGAAAUGAGCACCCUCAAGAUCUCUGAAGAUAACGAAACAGCUGUUCAAGCCCCUCGGCCUGGGAGAGCCACUUUUUCGCUCUCAAAGGGCUCAGACCCAUAUCUCAUCCCAAAGGAGGAGGUUCUCACAACUCAGGCAGUUAGAAACACAGCACCUGUGGACCUGACAAAUACCCAGGGCGGGUUGCAGAAUCUGACUGAGAGUGCUCUAGAGGAAGAGCCUGAACCAGCCCUAUGCGGCUAAAUAAGUUGAAGAGAAAAGCAAAGAUUAAGAGUAGGAGAAAGAAAGAAAGAAAGAAAGAAAGAAAGAAAGAAAGAAAGAAAGAAAGAAAGAAAGAAAGAAAGAAAGAAAGAAAAUGUUUUAACUCUUUGUUUUAUUUAUGUAUAGCUUUUAUUAAUAAAAACUGUAUGAUUCCCUUGUCUGCAGAUGUGGAAUUCCAUGAACAGCAGCAACCCAGACACAAGGCACCCAGAGGCUCCAACGUGGAGGUGCAGCCACACUACAAAAAACCCAGAAAGGCUAUCCUGGAACCUGAACAUGAACCGGGGGUCCGUGAUGACCAAGCGCUGAACCUCCAUGCUAAUGAGUUCUUGGUCAGCAUGUCGCGGGUUACAGAAUACAUACAGACAUUGAUAAGGACUAGGGCAGAGGCUGUUGAACGCAUGACCAAAGCUGAGCAACACCUUGAGCAAGCAAAACGCAUCAUACGUAAAGAAAAGGAAUUGAUUAGUGAUACUUCACAGCAGCUACAAAGUCUAAUAAGAUGUGGAAGCACAAUGUGUGAUUUCGUAGACAGAAAUAAAAAAGAUCAACCAUACCCUGUCUGUAUCUAGCAACCAAAACGGAGGGCAUAGGAAUGCUUCUGAUUCUUCAGACGAAUUUGAACCAUCAGAGGAGUCACAUAGUGACCCCAGUCCUCAGAAUGCUUUUACUGAAGAGUGUGUAACCCAGAAUGGUACCUCUCGAGUAGGUAUGGCCUCUGAUGUUGACCCGAAUGUCUGCCCCGAAAAGUGUGCUACCCACCGUGGAGCCUCUCGAGGAGGUAUGGCGUUCGAUGUUGGACCUGCAGGGGGUUCCCAACAGUUCUCUUCUGAAGAAUCAGCAGGCAUCCCUGAAGAACACCCACCCGUGGAUCUUCAGUUUAUUCAAAGUUAUAAUAGGAACUAUGCACGCUUUGAUGGAACUGAAAUGUAUUAUGAAUUCGAGUUUGUGAAUUUGGACAGAGUACACUCCUUUUGUGAUGCCCUAUUUGGGAUGUGUUCUGCUAUUCAAAUGGUUCUGGAGAAUAUAAACAAUCAUAUAGAACCAGGGGACUUUGUACAGCUCAAAUUGCGAGCGCCAGGGAUUUCAAAUCCCCUUUGCUCGGCAAGGAGACUGACGGGGCAUCUGAAUGCUGAGACAUUCUUAAGUGCUAUGUCUAACCUGCUUCAAAGUUAUGCUCAAAUUUUAGCUGAUGGUGUAUUAACACUGGCUGUGAUUGUCAUUACACCCCCACAAGGUGCGGGUCGCAGGCAUAUAAAAUCUAUAACAGCAUUAUACAGAAAAAGAGGCUGCAUCUGAUAGAUGUCCCCAUGCCUAAUACAGCACUCUGCUUUGCAGCAAGUCUCAUGGCUGUUCUAGAUGUGAGAGCUACCGCUACACAGAUAAAAAAGGGGGCAAAAAAGCUGUACAGGGAUCUUGGGUGGAGUGAGCAAAAAGAAGUGUCUUUUGCAGACGUGGAAACUGUAGAGACACAUAUGAAGGUUAAUAUUGUGGUUGUGCAAUGGGAAGCUUCUGGAUGGAGUGUUUUAAAAACUCCUGAACAGAAGUACCUCAAAACCUGUUUUCUGUUACUUCAUGAUGCUCACUAUUAUGGGGUUAAGAACAUCAAAGGUUUUUUUUGGCUCCAGAAAUUUUUAUGUCUGUUACACUCCCUAUACACACAGCCAUGACUGUCUGAUGAGGUGACACCGCUGUUUAGACUCUGGGUGUGUAAAACGUGUGGGGCGAAUAAUCAGAUGCCCCAAAUGCAAGAUGCAGUGUAGAUCACAUGAAUGCCUAGGAAAGCAUAUGAAGCUCACUGCCAUGGGGCAGGGAGAAUGCAUCCCACAUGAUCUAUGUGAUAAGUGCUUCCACUAUGUCGAGGCGGGUCAUGAAGCUGAACGCGCCUGUAGGGGAAAGCAGUGCCGUGUAUGCUAUAACUACCUUUGCCCUGGGGAAGAACAUGAGUGUUACAUUCCACGUCUACAGUACCCCGAGCUAUCAGUAAAAUAUGUGUUUUAUGACUGAGAAUGCAGGCAGGAGGAUGGGAUCCAUGUCCCAAAUUAUAUUUAUGCCAGGGCAUUUGAAGGGGAACCUGUGGAGCCUGUUAAAGCAUAUCAAGAGAAACAGAAAGAAUGGGAAAAGUGGGGGCCCCAAGGGGAUUAUUGGGAAUUUAAGGGAGGUAAAUGUCUGAUUGACUUUGUAUUAAAAUUUACAUCAGAUAGUAACUUUAUGGGGUGCAGUUUUCUGGCGAAUAAUUCGCGGAGCUACGAUGGGAUCCUCAUCCUGAGAGAGCUAAUCAAAGAAGGCCUCGAUGUAGAGCUGCUCACACGGGGGGAAACUAUGUAUAACAGUUUAAAAUAAUGACAUAAAAUUUAUAGAUUCCCUAUGCCAUCUACCCAUGGUGCUAGCAAAGCUCCCCAACGCUAUGGGUUUUCAGGGUUGUAAGGGUUAUUCCCCACAUUUCUUUAAUAAAAAAGAAAAUGAGAGGUAUAUUGGGAAUAUGCCAGAACCCCUGUACUAUGGUGUGGACGCUAUGAAGCCUGCAGAUAGGGAAGAAUUCAUGAAGUGGUAUGAGGAAAACAAAUCAAAGAUGUUUGACCUGCAGAAGGAAUUGGCCUAUUACUGUCAGAAAGAUGUAGACAUCCUGAUGCAGGCCUGUACAAAAUAUAGGCAUGAAUUGGUUGAGAUGACAUGGGAUGUCGUUGAUAAACCUAAGGGGAGGAAAACUGCCAGGGUGAUGGUGGGUAUCGACCCCUUCCAAUACCCUACGCUUGCUAGUGUGUGUUUAAGAAUGUACCGCUACAAGUAUCUGAAAGGUGAAGAGAUUGCCAUACCAGCCCCAGAUAAUUACCAUCAUCAGUGCAAAAGAUUCUCAACUAUGUCCAUUCAAUGGUUGGAAUACAUAGCCCACAGGGAAAACAUACAUAUUCAGCACGCUCUGAAAGGGGGUGAGUUUAAGGUUGAUAUUCCUCAGGAGCUUCAGGAGGCAUCAGGGGGUGUUAAGGCGUAUUAUUUAGAUGGCUAUUCUGUGAAUGGGGGAAAGAAAUGUGCUUUUGAAUUUAACGGCUGUUUUUAUCACGGGUGUCUAACCUGUUAUUCAGCACACAAACAACACCCUAUGUUGUCGGAAACCUAUGGUUUUCUCUACAAUGCUAGUGAGAGGAAAGCAGAUGUCUUAAAAUGAUUGGGGUUUGAAGUCUGCUGUAUAUGGGAGCAUGAGUGGCAUGUCAAGGUGAACUGGAAGCUCAUGUUUCCUCUGUGCAGUCUCUGUGCAGACUCACAACAGCUGGAGCAAUGCUGCCACAAUGAUGAGGAAAGGGCACUGGUGGGUACAUGGUGUACCGUAGAAUUGGAAGUUGCUGUGGCUAAAGGCUACAGGGUGGCACAGAUCUAUGAGGUUUGGCAUUUUGAAAGGAGGUCUGACAGCCUCUUCUCAGAGUACGUCAAAACAUUUCUCAGGCAGAAGCAGGAGGCUUCUGGCUACCCUGCAGAGUAUGCUAGCAGGGAGGACAGAGAGAAAUACAUUGCUGAGUAUUAUAAGAAGAAGGUGUGUGUUUACGCCCUGAGAUGAUUGAAUCAAACCCUGCUAAACUCCAAAUAGCCAAGCUUUUCUUAAAUUCCUUGUGGGGGAAAUUUGCUCGGAGGACAAACCUCCCUAGGACGUCCAUAGUGAAAAAACCUGAUGAGCUUUCCCAAUACCUCUUUUCAGAUAGCUAUGAGGUCUCUAUGUGUGAAUUCCUUGAUGAUGAUACAUGCUGUGUGUCUUGGAAAGAUGCAAAAGAAUGUAUAGUUCCACCAGGUAACACAAAUGUUUUUCUGGUGUGUUUUACAACCACAUAUGCACGCCUGCAUUUGUACUCUAUCAUGGAGAAGCUGGAGGAACGAUGCCUGUACCAUGACACAGAUUCUGUGAUCUAUGUGUCUCGUGAGGGGGAGUACAAUCCACCCCUUGGAAACUUUUUAGAGGAGCUGACAAACGAACUGCCGGCAGACCAGUACAUAACAGAGUUUGUGAGCACAGGUCCUAAAUCUUACGGCUACAAUCUGUCAGGGGGGUUCAUCGUGUAUUAAGGUCAAGGGGAUUACUCUGAGUUUUUCUAUCAAAAAAUUAAUUUCGACAGUCUAAAAGAUCUGGUUUUUGCCUACGUUUCGGACCAGAAUCCGGCACAUCAGAUUGUGGUAGAGCAGAAUGGCAUAGUUAGAAAUAAGAAAAGAUGGCAGCUAGAAACAGGGCUUUUGAGGAAGACACAGAGUUGUAUUUGAUAAGCGCGUCAUCAUUGAGGGUUUUAAGACUAUACCAUACGGGUAUUAAAAUGGAUGUUCGCUGGCAACACCCCUUCUCCACUAUCCUUGCAGGGUCUAGCAAUAGUGGUAAGAUGUUUUUUCUUUUUAAAAAAUGCUGGACAAAGUACACAGUGUGCUAUCUGUGAUGCCUGAAAAAAUCGUGUGGUGUUACUCUUGUUGGCAGCCUUUGUACAAACAAAUGCUCUGUAAAUACCCUAUAAUAACAUUUGUAGAAGGUAUGCCUGAGAAAAUUGAUGGCAGUGACUUGUUACCACCAAAUAAAAUCUGUUUUCUUGUU